Molecule: ribosomal RNA, 836 nt
Filed under: uncultured marine bacterium
Lineage: Bacteria
Description: bacterial SSU rRNA
Rfam family: Bacterial small subunit ribosomal RNA
Source: RNAcentral
GUCGAACGAAGUAGCAAUACUUAGUGGCAGACGGGUGAGUAACAUGUAGGUAUCUGCCCUUUGGCCUGGAAUAACACGAGGAAACUUGUGCUAAUACCGGAUAAGUCUUUACGGAGAAAGCUUUAUGCACCAUUGGAUGAGCCUGCACUUGAUUAGUUUGUUGGUGGGGUAAUGGCCUACCAAGACUGUGAUCAAUAGCUGAUUUGAGAGGAUGAUCAGCCACAUUGGGACUGAGACACGGCCCAAACUACUACGGGAGGCAGCAGUGGGGAAUCUUGCACAAUGGAGGAAACUCUGAUGCAGCGAUGCCGCGUGAGUGAAGAAGGCCCUUGGGUUGUAAAGCUCUUUCGUCGGGGAAGAAAAUGACUGUACCCGAAUAAGAAGGUCCGGCUAACUUCGUGCCAGCAGCCGCGGUAAUACGAAGGGACCUAGCGUAGUUCGGAAUUACUGGGCUUAAAGAGUUCGUAGGUGGUUGAAAAAGUUAGUGGUGAAAUCCCAGAGCUUAACUCUGGAACUGCCAUUAAAACUUUUCAGCUAGAGUGUGAUAGAGGAAAGCAGAAUUUCUAGUGUAGAGGUGAAAUUCGUAGAUAUUAGAAAGAAUACCAAUUGCGAAGGCAGCUUUCUGGAUCAUUACUGACACUGAGGAACGAAAGCAUGGGUAGCGAAGAGGAUUAGAUACCCUCGUAGUCCAUGCCGUAAACGAUGUGUGUUAGACGUUGGAAAUUUACUUUCAGUGUCGCAGCGAAAGCGAUAAACACACCGCCUGGGGAGUACGACCGCAAGGUUAAUACUCAAAUGAAUUGACGGGGACCCGCACAAGUAGUGGAGCAUGUGGU